AAACUUAGGCUAACAUAGACCAAAGGCCUU
This 30-nucleotide transfer RNA is filed under the name Lithobates sylvaticus (wood frog). RNAcentral's name for it is "Rana sylvatica (wood frog) partial tRNA-Trp". Lineage: Eukaryota; Metazoa; Chordata; Amphibia; Anura; Ranidae. The record is from RNAcentral.